RNAcentral lists this ribosomal RNA (253 nucleotides) under uncultured bacterium. RNAcentral describes it as "partial 16S ribosomal RNA". It matches the Rfam family "Bacterial small subunit ribosomal RNA", at positions 524 to 776 of the family's 1533-position model. The record is from RNAcentral.
UACGUGGGGUGCAAGCGUUGUCCGGAAUUAUUGGGCGUAAAGAGCGUGUAGGCGGCCGUACAGGUCAGCUGUGAAAACUCGAGGCUCAACCUCGAGACGUCGGUUGAAACCGUACGGCUAGAGUCCGGAAGAGGAGAGUGGAAUUCCCGGUGUAGCGGUGAAAUGCGCAGAUAUCGGGAAGAACACCCGUGGCGAAGGCGGCUCUCUGGGACGGUACUGACGCUGAGACGCGAAAGCGUGGGGAGCAAACAGG